This 363-nucleotide long non-coding RNA is filed under the name Equus asinus (donkey). RNAcentral's name for it is "lncRNA (ENSEASG00005023999.1)". The record is from RNAcentral. Lineage: Eukaryota; Metazoa; Chordata; Mammalia; Perissodactyla; Equidae.
CAAUGUACUCCCUACCCACAUUGAAUUGAUGACUUUUCAGAAGGAACAAGCACUUCAUUACUUACAUCUGAAGAAAAUGAAGGUUACUUCAAAGACAGAGUUUUAUCAGCAGAUGAAAUAACAUGGGCAGGUAGCAGUGAAGCAAAGGAAAUUUCUCUAAGCCAUAGAGGGUAUCCAGAAAAUGAACGUGAAGCAAUACAAUCUUCAUCAAAGAAAUUAUUUUCAAUGAUGAAAACCAACAAAACUAAAAAUUUAAUGUUUUCUUCUGACUUUAACUUUUCAAGAACUUCUAGAAUCACUAUGGAAAGUGAAGAUCUAGAUGUGGCAUCAUGCCCGUCUGCCCAUUUAUUUCUUUCUAGAGAC